GACGAACCGAGCAAACGUUAUUCGGAAUCACUGGGCUUAAAGGGCGCGUAGGCGGGCAUCCAAGUCUGUGGUGAAAUCCGGCAGCUUAACUGUCGAACUGCCGUGGAUACUGGGUGUCUCGAGGGAGGUAGGGGCGUGCGGAACUAUUGGUGGAGCGGUGAAAUGCGUUGAUAUCAAUAGGAACACCGGUGGCGAAAGCGGCUCACUGGGUCUCUUACUGACGCUGGAGGCACGAAAGCUAGGGUAGCGAACGGG
Molecule: ribosomal RNA, 255 nt
Filed under: uncultured bacterium
Lineage: Bacteria
Description: partial 16S ribosomal RNA
Rfam family: Bacterial small subunit ribosomal RNA
Source: RNAcentral